CUCGGCGCCAUUUUGUCUCGGCAGCGGUGGCCGUAGCUCCAUCGCAUUUUAUGUUUCUGGCGAGAAGGGAACGGAGUUUUCAUCAGGUAGAUUGGUUUUUGUGCAGCCGUCCUCCACCGUUUCCUCCAGGACAGCACCUAGUCGUGGCCGGAAGAGUCUCAGAGCUGUCAGAAAGAAUAAGACUGAUUUUAUGGGAAAAUUAAGCAAAUGCUCCAGUUUGAAAAACCUGGAUCUGCGAUCUGUUUGUGGUCUCUAUGAAUAAAGAAAUAAAAGCAAAUAGAAUCUUAUCAGAUAAGUGCUGUUGUAAGUCUAAAUAUAUUUUAUUCUUUGGAAUCUCUAAAGCAAAACUUUUAAACUUUUUUUUUUUUUUUUUUUUUUUUAGGUACCAGCAUCAAGAUGAUUUAUGGUAAUAAGGUACUCAGUCUUUGCUUAAAAUAAAUUUUACAUUUAUCAAAGUAAAAUUUACCAGUUUUUUUUCCUAAAGAGGCUAGUCAUAUCUCAUCAGUGGUUACAAAGUAUCCUUACAAUUGAACCUACACUUGUUAAUCCUGUUUAGUGUGUAUGAAAAUCACUUGGUGGCCGGGCAUGGUGGCUAAUGCCUGUAAUCCCAGCACUUUGGGAGGCUGAGGCGGGCAGAUCACAAGGUCAGGAGUUCGAGACCAGCCUGGCUAAUAUAGUGAAACCCCAUUUCUACUAAAAAUGCAAACAUUAGUCAGGCGUGGUGGCAGGUGCCUGUAGUCCCAGCUACUUGGGAGGCUGAGGCAGGAGACUCUCUUCAACCCGUGAGGCAGAGGUUGCAGUGAGUCGAGAUCAUGUCACUGCACUUCAGCCUGAGCGACAGAGCAAGACUCCAUCUCAAAAAAAGAAAAUUACGUCACUUGAUGUUCUUUCUUUCAUAAGAGUUGAAGAGCUAGGUAUAUCUGCUUAUAUUAUGGCAUCUAUAGUAGCUUAGCUGCUCAUAUUUGGGUCUCUUUAGAACCAGUGUCUUUCAAAGAGGGUUUUAACUAUGCUGGUAUAAAUUUUAAAAAUAGAUACAUUCAAAGAAGAAUUAAGAUUCAUGUGACAUUCAUACUUUGGAACUUUGGGAAAGUAUAGGAAUGACCAUAGAUUGGCUUAGGGAUAGUCAAUUUACCUGUCUGUAAAUGGAUCCAAUUUAGUAUUGUUCCUGUAUUUUUCUAAGACCAACACUUGUGUCAUUCACAGUUAAAUAUAUGAGUUGUGGCCAGGCCCGGUGGCUCAUGCCUGUAAUUUCAGCAUUUUAGGAGGCUGAGGUGGGCAGAUUGCUUAAGUCCAGGAGUUCAAGACCAGCCUGGGCAAAAUAGUGAGAUGCCGUCUCUACAAAAAAUUUUUAAAAGUUAGCCAAGCAUGGUGGUGCUUGCCUGUGGCCCCAGCUACUCGGGAGGCUGAGGUGGGAGGAUUGCUUGAGCCAUAUGCUCUAAUAUAUUUUAAAAUACAUAUUUUAAAUAUAUUUUGAGUGGUAAAACAUAGCAGAUAAUGUUACAUAAAAGCAGCCAUGGUAAUGACAUAUGACAUUACUGGUUUUGAGUUGUUUGUGUAGUAGUUAGCUAUUAAUAUUCAGCUAUAAUGAUUUGCUAUUUAAACUACACAAAUGCUCAAAGUCCAGCGAUAACCCUGCACCCAAAUUCAGUGGCUAGAUUACCUUCUUAGGAAAGCACAACACUUGAAUGGAGUGACAUUGGCAUGAGUCCACUAGAGGGUGUGUAUACGUGGCCUGAGUUCAAAUUGUUUGUUCCUGCUGUGAGUACUGCUUUUCAGCUUCAAGUUAUUCUUCUCGGCCACAGUACUGUUUAUUCCACUUACUAACAGUUCUGUUUACAGAGCACUUUCACAUAAAUUCUGAUUUUUAAGAUGAAAGCUGUCUGAUGUUAGUAUUUUUAUUUUAAUCUUUAGAGAUCAAGAAAUUUUUUUAGUGACAGAAUAGGAACUUCAUUGAUCCUUAAAUCCACCCCUCACCACAAUAAAGGAAAAAAGCAAAAA
Molecule: non-coding RNA, 1998 nt
Filed under: Pongo abelii (Sumatran orangutan)
Lineage: Eukaryota; Metazoa; Chordata; Mammalia; Primates; Hominidae
Source: RNAcentral